This 740-nucleotide ribosomal RNA is filed under the name uncultured bacterium. RNAcentral describes it as "bacterial SSU rRNA". It matches the Rfam family "Bacterial small subunit ribosomal RNA", at positions 750 to 1502 of the family's 1533-position model. The record is from RNAcentral.
UGCACGAAAGCGUGGGGAGCGAACAGGAUUAGAUACCCUGGUAGUCCACGCCGUAAACGAUGAUCACUCGCUGUUAGCGAUACACUGUUAGCGGCUAAGCAAAAGCAUUAAGUGAUCCACCUGGGGAGUACGGCCGCAAGGCUGAAACUCAAAGGAAUUGACGGGGGCCCGCACAAGCGGAGGAACAUGUGGUUUAAUUCGAUGAUACGCGAGGAACCUUACCUGGGCUUAAAUGUAGAGUGCAUGAGGUAGAAACACUUCUUUCCUUCGGGACUCUUUGCAAGGUGCUGCAUGGUUGUCGUCAGCUCGUGCCGUGAGGUGUCGGGUUAAGUCCCAUAACGAGCGCAAUCCUUAUCGUUAGUUGCCAGCGGGUAGAGCCGGGAACUCUAACGAAACUGCCGGUGUAAACCGAGAGGAAGGUGGGGAUGACGUCAAAUCAGCACGGCCCUUAUGUCCAGGGCUACACACGUGUUACAAUGGCCGGUACAGAGGGCAGCUACCUGGAGACAGGAUGCGAAUCUCGAAAGCCGGUCUCAGUUCGGAUCGGAGUCUGCAACUCGACUCCGUGAAGCUGGAUUCGCUAGUAAUCGCGCAUCAGCCUUGGCGCGGUGAAUACGUUCCCGGGCCUUGUACACACCGCCCGUCAAGCCAUGGAAGUUGGGGGUACCUGAAGUCCGUAACCGCAAGGAGCGGCCUAGGGUAAAACCAGUGACUGGGGCUAAGUCGUAACAAGGUAACCA